AGUUGUUGUAAAUAUUCAUCCAAUGUUUAAUGCAAACACAGGUUAAGGUUUAUCAUAAAUAACUCAAUAUAAAGACACAUCAUUAUAUCAGUGGAAUGAAUAAAUGAAUGAGUUUAUUAAAGUAUGUAAGGAAAUUUAUAAAAUCCGAAAAUCUAAAUGAUUUCUUUGAAUGCUUUAUGUAUGGCUUCCCAUAUGAACAAUUAAUCAUGACAGAUCAGAUUGAGAAGUGCGUGAAUUGUUAAGGACUAUUCAGAAACUCAGAAUCUUAUGUCAAACAAAAUUUUGGAAUCUUAUGUCAAACAAAAUUUUG
RNAcentral lists this unclassified non-coding RNA (310 nucleotides) under Hevea brasiliensis (rubber tree). Lineage: Eukaryota; Viridiplantae; Streptophyta; Magnoliopsida; Malpighiales; Euphorbiaceae. The record is from RNAcentral.